AUACGGAGGAUCCGAGCGUUAUCCGGAUUUAUUGGGUUUAAAGGGUGCGUAGGUGGUUUGAUAAGUCAGCGGUGAAAGUUUGCAGCUUAACUGUAAAAAUGCCGUUGAAACUGUCGGACUUGAGUGUAAAUGAGGUAGGCGGAAUGCGUGGUGUAGCGGUGAAAUGCAUAGAUAUCACGCAGAACUCCGAUUGCGAAGGCAGCUUACUAAGCUACAACUGACACUGAAGCACGAAAGCGUGGGGAUCAAGCAGGAUUAGAUACCCUGGUAGUACACGCAGUAAACGAUGAUUACUAGCUGUGUGCGAUACACAGUAAGCGGCACAGCGAAAGCGUUAAGUAAUCCACCUGGGGAGUACGCCGGCAACGGGGAAACUCAAAUGAAUUGACGGGG
RNAcentral lists this ribosomal RNA (393 nucleotides) under uncultured bacterium. Its description in RNAcentral is "partial 16S ribosomal RNA". It matches the Rfam family "Bacterial small subunit ribosomal RNA", at positions 523 to 918 of the family's 1533-position model. The record is from RNAcentral.